Molecule: ribosomal RNA, 490 nt
Filed under: uncultured bacterium
Lineage: Bacteria
Description: partial 16S ribosomal RNA
Rfam family: Bacterial small subunit ribosomal RNA
Source: RNAcentral
AUUGAACGCUGGCGGCAGGCCUAACACAUGCAAGUCGAACGGUAACAGGAAGAAGCUUGCUUCUUUGCUGACGGGUGGCGGACGGGUGAGUAAUGUCUGGGAAACUGCCUGAUGGAGGGGGAUAACUACUGGAAACGGUAGCUAAUACCGCAUAAUGUCGCAAGACCAAAGAGGGGGACCUUCGGGCCUCUUGCCAUCGGAUGUGCCCAGAUGGGAUUAGCUAGUAGGUGGGGUAACGGCUCACCUAGGCGACGAUCCCUAGCUGGUCUGAGAGGAUGACCAGCCACACUGGAACUGAGACACGGUCCAGACUCCUACGGGAGGCAGCAGUGGGGAAUAUUGCACAAUGGGCGCAAGCCUGAUGCAGCUAUGCCGCGUGUAUGAAGAAGGCCUUCGGGUUGUAAAGUACUUUCAGCGGGGAGGAAGGGAGUAAAGUUAAUACCUUUGCUCAUUGACGUUACCCGCAGAAGAAGCACCGGCUAACUCCGUG